UUAUCGGAGAGUUUGAUCCUGGCUCAGGACGAACGCUGGCGGCGUGCCUAAUACAUGCAAGUCGAGCGGACAGAUGGGAGCUUGCACC
RNAcentral lists this ribosomal RNA (88 nucleotides) under Bacillus inaquosorum. RNAcentral describes it as "partial 16S ribosomal RNA". It matches the Rfam family "Bacterial small subunit ribosomal RNA", at positions 1 to 86 of the family's 1533-position model. Lineage: Bacteria; Bacillati; Bacillota; Bacilli; Caryophanales; Bacillaceae. The record is from RNAcentral.